Molecule: long non-coding RNA, 395 nt
Organism: Ornithorhynchus anatinus (platypus)
Lineage: Eukaryota; Metazoa; Chordata; Mammalia; Monotremata; Ornithorhynchidae
Exons: 3
Source: RefSeq, a predicted model, not a curated record
CAAUAGCCAUUUGGAUGGAGAGGAGGGCAUUCCAGGCCAAAGAGGCUGCUCAACACUUCAUCCUAGACUUGAGACCCAUCCUUUUGUAGUGUGGAUACAGGCAAAUCAAUUCUCAGAUUUACCCCACCACUCAGCCAUGGAGCAGUGGAUCACAUUGCCCCGACAAAGAAGGGCAGCUGAGAGGAGAGGUCAAGUGCCCAAAGACUUGACUAGAUCAAGACCAACUACCCGCUGGCCGUUCCACUGGACGCAGACUGCUCGGAGUCACGGCCCCGGGGACCUUCACGGUGCAGCAUGGAUCUCCUUCGCCUCUGACACUUUCCUCAUCUCUGGUGUCUCCCAUGCCUCAUUAUACCUAAAACAGAACUCUUUAUCUUUUCACCCAAACCUUAUAC